GCGCCCGUGGCUCAAUGGAUAGAGCGUUUGACUACGGAUCAAAAGGUUGGGGGUUCGAAUCCCUUCGGGCGCGCCA
This 76-nucleotide transfer RNA is filed under the name Candidatus Opitulatrix roisinitermitis. RNAcentral describes it as "tRNA-Arg". It matches the Rfam family "tRNA". Rfam says of the family: Transfer RNA (tRNA) molecules are approximately 80 nucleotides in length. The record is from RNAcentral. Lineage: Bacteria; Bacillati; Actinomycetota; Actinomycetes; Bifidobacteriales; Bifidobacteriaceae.